CAGCAGAGCGGCGCGGCGCUGAUCAACACGUGCCGCUGGCGAACUGGCAAGUCUUUCGGCCGCACAUUUCCACGUGCCUUCUUUACGUUUGCGAGAAUUAUUAUUUUGAGUGUAAGAAACUCCAGAACGACUUUAAAACACUAUUACAAACGAUAUGAAUGAAAAUUCCCAAAAACAAGUUUUAUUUGUGGAUACUAAAAUUGUACAGAAUGAUUCAGAAUUCUGUGAAUCAAGGUCUAAAUGCAUCAAAAGUAAUAAACCUUUAAGCCAUGCUGCGGGUAGUGAUCAUCUAAUUUCCCCCUCCAAAGAAAUUAACUGCAAGGUGGAAGCUCUUCUUCAUUCUGUAAAGGAGCAACGACGAAGAGGCAUGGCCACCCGCAUAUCACAGCAAGGGACUACUCUCAGACCUAUAAAGGCUGAGGAAAUCCCACAGUACCUUGCAGUUUAUUGUAUGCACUCAUGGUUGUGACAACAGAUUAAGAAGAACUGUGAUCAUCUACGUGCACUCCUCCCAAAAAUAAACAGAACUAGGAUUGAUACCGCAUCUUUACUUGAAAUUACUGUUGAUUACAUGAGGUUCAUUCAAGAAAAUGUUCCAAAAGAAGUUUUGUCACAGGUUGCCAAAUUAAUCCAAGAAUAUGGAGAAGGAAGGUGGUGGAAACCAUUGGAAAGUUCUAACAAAAGGAUAAAGCCAAAAUCCAAAAUGCAGAACUCAACAGUUCAAGGGACUACAGCUUCAGAACAGAUGCACUCCCCAGUAGCAGAUUACUGGGUCCCAAUUGUGCAGCAAAUAUGCACUCAUCCUUCUUCACAAGGAUAUCCUGCUUUACAGCCCAGUACCCCCAUUGUACCAUCCGUAGCAUUUCCAGAGACCUCAUUUUACCCCUCGCCAGUUAUGCUCCAUGGCCUUUCAGAGUAUUCUAGUCCAAAAUUAUUUCAUUUUCCUAGACCCUAUAACCCCAUGCAGACAUAUGGAACUUCUGGUAGUAUUUCUUCAGGUCGAAAUAAUUCAUUCUCUAUACUUCAAGGACAAGGCCAUUACAUGCCUCAGCUCGCUCUCCAGCCAAACCCUUGUGUACUGCCAAAUUCUGAUGUCACCUCUGCAGGAUUUUUUUACGAUCACCCAAGUUUAAAUGCACAAGAUCAUCCGUUAAGAAAGAACUUACCAAUGUCUCUACCAUGUAAUGUCAGAAUGUCAAUUGAUUCUUGCACACCUCUGCCUGAGGAACACAAAAGCAUGACAAUGGCAACUACUUCUAAAGUGCUACAGUAUUGGAACGGAAUGCCUUAACAAGGUAGAGUAACAUUCUUCAUAUUAGUACUGUUCAUAAUUGUAGUAAAUAAAAUAAAACAAUGCAACAUAUGAUAUUACAUCC
RNA transcript from Erpetoichthys calabaricus (reedfish), 1376 nucleotides. RefSeq lists it as uncharacterized. The transcript has 8 exons. The record is from RefSeq and is a predicted model, not a curated record. Lineage: Eukaryota; Metazoa; Chordata; Cladistia; Polypteriformes; Polypteridae.